This 229-nucleotide ribosomal RNA is filed under the name uncultured bacterium. RNAcentral's name for it is "partial 16S ribosomal RNA". It matches the Rfam family "Bacterial small subunit ribosomal RNA", at positions 568 to 796 of the family's 1533-position model. The record is from RNAcentral.
UACGUAGGCGGAAAAUUAAGUCAGUAGUGAAAUCCUGCAGCUUAACUGUAGAACUGUUAUUGAUACUGGUUUUCUUGAAUAUAGUUGAGGUAGGCGGAAUGUGUAAUGUAGCGGUGAAAUGCUUAGAUAUUACACAGAACACCGAUUGCGAAGGCAGCUUACUAAACUAUGAUUGACGCUGAGGUACGAAAGCGUGGGGAGCGAACAGGAUUAGAUACCCUGGUAGUCC